UAGAACUAAAGGGAAUCAAAAGGGGCCCUUAGCUGAUGUCUGCCUCUGGCCAUCCUAGCAGGUUAAUCCCCGUCUCCAGGAGGUCUCUUUCCAGAUACAGAGCGAUGAGUGUUGUGAGCAUGCACCCUUAAGAAAAUCCAUUUGAAGAUUUUAGUCGCUGGACAGAAAUCUUUCAACUAUAAAAGUGGAAGUGGCAAAAUUCUGAAAUCAGGCCCUUGAAUGUAAGAAAACAAUGGUGUCAAAAGAGGGAGCAGUGAAGACUAUUUGACCUGAAGAUAAGAGCAUGUUAGAGCACUGGGAGAGAUGAAUGGCUUGUAGGCGUACAGCUGAGAGUGAGCUAGCAACACUGAACCUCUACGGACUGAAGCGUAAUGAGCACCAUGAAAGGCCCGUGUGGCCGGCAGAGCUAGCGGCUAGCUGUGCCCAGAGUAGAGACCCUCAACGGUG
Molecule: long non-coding RNA, 447 nt
Organism: Sebastes umbrosus (honeycomb rockfish)
Lineage: Eukaryota; Metazoa; Chordata; Actinopteri; Perciformes; Sebastidae
Exons: 3
Source: RefSeq, a predicted model, not a curated record